This 1198-nucleotide long non-coding RNA is filed under the name Homo sapiens (human). RNAcentral describes it as "HSALNT0306310". Lineage: Eukaryota; Metazoa; Chordata; Mammalia; Primates; Hominidae. The record is from RNAcentral.
GACCCUGGCCUCCAUCUUGAAAACGGAAAAUAAAAACAGCAGACCUAUGAAGGUCGAAGGGGAAGAAAAGCUGUAUCGAUUGUUGAGAUCUGGCGACUUGUUUAAAUUUCAUCAGCCUCACUUCUAUGAACUCUCAGAGCUGAUUACCAACUCCUACCACUGUUAACCCUCAUCCAGGAACAAGCUUAUGUCUUUAACAUUCUGAGUGGGCUUCAGCAUCCUUGCAUAUGUUCAAUUCUUAAAAACCUGUUGAAAUAAAAGAUCAGGAGACAUAGGAAGGAUGCCAGAAGAGAGCGUGGCCUCACGUGUACCAGCUCUCUGCUCUCCUUUGCCUUGGGACGUUCCAUCCCUGGAAGUUUCCCUGCCCACAUCUUUGUAGAGAGUCCAUUCUCCAAGCUUCAGUGUGUCAUCUGUGAGGACCGUGACCCACCUGGUACAUCGCCUCAGGGCAUUCAUUUCAGGCUCCUUCUAAAUGGCCAAGUACACUCAUGGCCUUGAAUCUUCAUCCACUCAGAGCUCCAUGUGUAUUCUUCCAAGCCAUUGCUCUAUACCCGGAACCGCCUUUUCUUGAACACACCACAGGAUACCUCACCCAUCUGUUCUGUGAAGCAUUCCAAUGACAAUAACCACCUACCAUUUUGUGCUAUUAUACAGUUAUCUCCUUCCCCUUCAUCCUGUUGGUAUUGUGUAUAUUACUUAAGAUGAGCACUCUAGUUCUUUAUUUGCUUGUAAAUUAUAAGUGGUGGUGUGGUUUAUAAACUCAUGAAAAUUAUAUUUCACUUGGGAUGAAACUGGUAGAACCAUUUAUAAUAACAUCAUGUUGUUAUGUGGUAUAUAUAUUAUAUAUAGGUAUAUAUAUACACCAAUAUGAAGAGUGAAUUACAUUGUAGGUAGGGUAAUAGAUUAGCUCAAUUGUUUAGUAUAACGUCAAGCUAUUUGUGGUUCAGGUGUGAGCCCCAUAGGACUAGUUACCUUACUAUUUGCUAUAGUUGAAAACUAUAGCUCUACAAUAAGCGGCUGUUUUAAGAUGAAGAUGGUGUUACACGUAGUAUGGCAGAGACAGAGUGAUAUACUCUAAGGAACAUUGUUCAGCUAAUCAGACCUGGGUUCAAAUUCCAUCACCACUGUUUACUUGCUGUGUGCUUCCAAACAAACCCUGUAAAUCUGUUUUCUAAAAUAAAAAGUUAUGAACACAUAA